AUGGAUACGGACCAGUCCUUAUCUCCUUCCUCAUCUGCCAGAUCCGGCACCCAAUCACGCUCGUCGGUUUCUUCCCCCCAGGGUGAGGGAUCAGCUCUUCACCUCUCUUCCUCCAAGGAGGUCGAUGUGGAGACUGUUGCUGGGGAUUCGCCACCCCUGUCGCCCCAAUAUGAGGAGCUUUUGGAGUUGGUUACACGCGCAGUCGAUAAAUUAAAAAUCGAAUGGCCUGCUGAAAAACAUUCUGAGCCGCAGAGAAGCAGGUUAGAUGAACACUUUCUGCGGCCGAAGCAACCACCUCCACGUCGGAGCCUACCAUUUUUUCCCGAUCUCCACGACGAAAUAUCGAGAUCGUGGAAUCAUCCUUAUUCGACCCGCCUCUUUGGCCCCGAUUCACUAUAUUAUGGCAAUGUGAUGGGGCUGGGAGAGUGGGGUUAUAGAGCGGUGCCACGGGUCAAACAGACACUCGCGGACUAUCUGUCGCCCGGGUCGGCAUCGUCGCUAAAGGCUCCGACGUUCCCCGCAAAGCCUAUUAGAGUUACAUCAUCACUGGUGGGCAAAGGUUAUGUGGCAGCAGGUCAGGCUGGGGCUUGCCUUCACACUAUGGCAGUCCUACAAACUUAUCAGGCUGACCUGCUAGGAGAUAUUGACGAGGGGAGGGGAUUAAGUCUGAAGAUAUCGAAGAACUUAGAAAGACUGCUGAUCUCUCCCUCCACGCCACUAAAGAGACCGCUCUCGCGAUUGGGCGGUCUAUGGCAGCCUUAUGGCAGUGUAUAUUCCUGGGAGAUUGAAUGUGGGAGCAGACAUACUGUCAAGGCAGGGGCCGAGGCCCGGGGAAUGGAAAAUUCACCCCGAGGUGGUGAGGCAGAUAUGGAGAGUGUUUGGUACAGCCCAGGUGGACCUCUUUGCGACUCAGGAGACAUCGCAUUGUCCCCUCUGGUUCUCUCUAGUUCAUCCAGCUCCUCUGGGACUGGACGCUUUGGUACAGACCUGGCCGAGGCUUCGUCUGUACGCACAGAUCUAGUCUCGCUCCUCGACGGCUCUCCACGGGAGAUACCGAUCAGGACAGACCUACUCUCACAGGUGCAGGGUACGAUAAUUCACCCUCGCCCGGAGUUGUGGAAGCUGUGGGUGUGGCCCCUGAGGGGGCACAACUGUUAG
RNAcentral lists this long non-coding RNA (1158 nucleotides) under Carassius auratus (goldfish). RNAcentral describes it as "lncRNA (ENSCARG00000016482.1)". The record is from RNAcentral. Lineage: Eukaryota; Metazoa; Chordata; Actinopteri; Cypriniformes; Cyprinidae.